RNAcentral lists this transfer RNA (65 nucleotides) under Mordellochroa milleri. Its description in RNAcentral is "tRNA-Phe". The record is from RNAcentral. Lineage: Eukaryota; Metazoa; Arthropoda; Insecta; Coleoptera; Mordellidae.
AUCUAAAUAGCUUAUACAAGAGCGUAAUAUUGAAGAUAUUAAGGAAAUAUGAUUAUUUUUAGGUA